UCACACUAUCAAGCUUGGCUUGUUGUUGGGCCCUUUGUCACCUGGUGACAGGUCCAAAAGACAAUAACCGGUGUCAUACAGACUCUAUAUGCAACGAGCUUAUCACAGCACGCAUCUGGUAGUCGUGUGGCCCGGUUUUCACUUUGAUAUUUAUCAAAGCGUAUUUCUCAA
Molecule: unclassified non-coding RNA, 171 nt
Filed under: uncultured Chaetothyriales
Lineage: Eukaryota; Fungi; Ascomycota; Eurotiomycetes; Chaetothyriales
Description: sequence contains ITS2
Source: RNAcentral